This 305-nucleotide ribosomal RNA is filed under the name uncultured bacterium. Its description in RNAcentral is "bacterial SSU rRNA". It matches the Rfam family "Bacterial small subunit ribosomal RNA", at positions 336 to 633 of the family's 1533-position model. The record is from RNAcentral.
CUCCUACGGGGGGCAGCAGUAGGGAAUUUUCGUCAAUGGGGGGAACCCUGAACGAGCAAUGCCGCGUGAGUGAAGAAGGUCUUCGGAUCGUAAAGCUCUGUUGUAAGAGAAAAACGGGUAUCAUAGGGAAUGAUGAUAUCGUGAUGGUAUCUUACCAGAAAGCCACGGCUAACUACGUGCCAGCAGCCGCGGUAAUACGUAGGUGGCAAGCGUUAUCCGGGAUGAUUGGGCGUAAAGGGUGCGCAGGCGGUCCUGCAAGUCUGGAGUGAAACGCAUGAGCUCAACUCAUGCAUGGCUUUGGAAAC